AUGGGUAAAGAUCUCUCCAUUAUGAAAAAUGUUUUUGUGAUGUUCUUCAGUUUCCCUGGGGCCACUGGUAGCUGUUUUGGCACAAUUUGUUGUUCGACUCUGUAUGUUCAGGCCAUGAAUGUUGUUCGGAUGGGGGAUGCCAGUGCGGAAGCGUUUGAGCAUAUGUUGGCCGGACUGAAGGCAUUGCUGGUGAGCGGUGCACCAUUUGCAGAGAAGAGGGAUGGCUUGGGCACUUGCCCUGACCGGGGCGGAUGCUCUGAAGAAACGGCGGAGGCCGGGGGAAAUGCAAGAACUAUGGAAUGGAAGGGCGCCACCUGGACACGUGCACUUGGCUGCUUGGUGAUGAUCACUAAUCAUAAUCAAAUAUGA
RNAcentral lists this ribosomal RNA (369 nucleotides) under Triticum aestivum (bread wheat). RNAcentral's name for it is "partial small subunit ribosomal RNA". Lineage: Eukaryota; Viridiplantae; Streptophyta; Magnoliopsida; Poales; Poaceae. The record is from RNAcentral.